UCAGCAUCCGGUCAGCUUUGGUGCAUAGUAAGUUUCACCCCGUCUACAGUGUCCUACACCACUCUGUAUAACCCGGAUUCAACCGUGUCAUCUAAGUUUGUUUGUGUGGCGGCCCAAUCGUCCGGAAGCUCAACCCAGCUGAGUAUGAUCCCCGGGGAGUGUACGGGCACCCAGACACCCAGCGUCUCUCCCUCCGACACCACCGGGGCCACUAUGGAACUGAAACCAUACUUUUCGUGUAAGACUACACCAUCAACACCGUUGUUCACGGGUUGUAGAAGCAUAUUGCAAC
Molecule: long non-coding RNA, 292 nt
Organism: Dreissena polymorpha
Lineage: Eukaryota; Metazoa; Mollusca; Bivalvia; Myida; Dreissenidae
Exons: 3
Source: RefSeq, a predicted model, not a curated record